GACGAACGCUGGCGGCAUGCCUAAUACAUGCAAGUCGAACGCUUCUUUCCUCCCGAGUGCUUGCACUCAAUUGGAAAGAGGAGUGGCGGACGGGUGAGUAACACGUGGGUAACCUACCCAUCAGAGGGGGAUAACACUUGGAAACAGGUGCUAAUACCGCAUAACAGUUUAUGCCGCAUGGCAUAAGAGUGAAAGGCGCUUUCGGGUGUCGCUGAUGGAUGGACCCGCGGUGCAUUAGCUAGUUGGUGAGGUAACGGCUCACCAAGGCCACGAUGCAUAGCCGACCUGAGAGGGUGAUCGGCCACACUGGGACUGAGACACGGCCCAGACUCCUACGGGAGGCAGCAGUAGGGAAUCUUCGGCAAUGGACGAAAGUCUGACCGAGCAACGCCACGUGAGUGAAGAAGGUUUUCGGAUCGUAAAACUCUGUUGUUAGAGAAGAACAAGGACGUUAGUAACUGAACGUCCCCUGACGGUAUCUAACCAGAAAGACACGGCUAACUACGUG
This 508-nucleotide ribosomal RNA is filed under the name uncultured bacterium. RNAcentral's name for it is "partial 16S ribosomal RNA". It matches the Rfam family "Bacterial small subunit ribosomal RNA", at positions 28 to 507 of the family's 1533-position model. The record is from RNAcentral.